UAAAUUGAUCUUUCCGUCAAAUCCAACUUUACGACGUCAAGUGUUGCUUAUGUGGAAGAGACAGUUGCUUAUGUGGCAGAGUGAGGUGAAAUUGUGAUUGCGUGGAUCUCAUCUCCAUUCUCCAGCCCCGCCUCAAGCAGUUGCAGACCGAACUCCAUCACACCAAGAAGGACCCACACCAUGCUCCCUCCUCCUCUGCCGCAACCUCGCACUUUCUCUCUUUCUCCCUUCAAA
Molecule: long non-coding RNA, 234 nt
Filed under: Phaseolus vulgaris (common bean)
Lineage: Eukaryota; Viridiplantae; Streptophyta; Magnoliopsida; Fabales; Fabaceae
Description: long non-coding RNA (PVUL_LNC001729)
Source: RNAcentral